RNAcentral lists this ribosomal RNA (440 nucleotides) under uncultured bacterium. Its description in RNAcentral is "bacterial SSU rRNA". It matches the Rfam family "Bacterial small subunit ribosomal RNA", at positions 338 to 795 of the family's 1533-position model. The record is from RNAcentral.
CCUACGGGGGGCUGCAGUGGGGAAUAUUGCACAAUGGGGGAAACCCUGAUGCAGCAACGCCGCGUGAGCGAUGAAGGCCUUCGGGCCGUAAAGCUCUGUUCUAAGGGAAGAAUCCUGACGGUACCUUAGGAGGAAGCCCCGGCUAACUACGUGCCAGCAGCCGAGGUAAUACGUAGGGGGCUAGCGUUAUCCGGAAUUACUGGGCGUAAAGGGUGGGUAGGCGGCCAUUCAAGUCAGAGGUGAAAGGCUACGGCUCAACCGUAGUAAGCCUAUGAAACUGUAGGGCUUGAGUGCAGGAGAGGUGAAUGGAAUUCCCAGUGUAGCGGUGAAAUGCGUAGAUAUUGGGAGUAACACCAGUUGCGAAGGCGGGUCUCUGGACUGUAACGGACGCUGAGGCACGAAAGCGUGGGGAGCGGACAGGAUUAGAUACCCCUGUAGUC